RNAcentral lists this non-coding RNA (81 nucleotides) under Candidatus Thiodiazotropha endolucinida. RNAcentral's name for it is "SAH (S-adenosyl-L-homocysteine) riboswitch aptamer". It matches the Rfam family "SAH (S-adenosyl-L-homocysteine) riboswitch aptamer". RNAcentral also lists the same sequence under 1 other name. The record is from Rfam by way of RNAcentral. Lineage: Bacteria; Pseudomonadati; Pseudomonadota; Gammaproteobacteria; Chromatiales; Sedimenticolaceae.
CUGACCGAGGAGCGCUGCAACGGGUGAACAUCCGCCAGGCUCGGAAGGGAGGCUUGAUGCAAUCAACCGCGCUCACUCACG